UGAGGACCCCCAGUUAGACCAGAGGAUCUGGGGGACUGGUGGAGGACCCCCAGUUAGACCAGAGGAGCUGGGGGACUGGUGGAGGACCCCCAGUUAGACCAGAGGAUCUGGGGGACUGGUGGAGGACCCCCAGUUAGACCAGAGGAUCUGGGGGACUGGUGGAGGACCCCGGUGGACGAUGUCAUCGAUGCACUUAUUGAUGAAGCCAGUGGCUGAUGUGGUGUACUCCUCAUUGCGAUCUGAAGAAUCCUGGAACAUGUUCCAGUCUGUGCUACCAAAACAGUCCUGUAGUGUAGCAUCUGCUUCAUCUGACCACUUUUGUAUUGACUGAGUCACCGGUGCUUCUUGCUUUAAUUGUUGCUUGAAAGCCGGAAUCAGGAGGAUGGAAUUAUGGUCAGAUUUGCCAAAUGGAGGUCAAGGGAGAGCUUUGCACACAUCUCUGUGUGUGGAGUAAAGGGGUCUAGAGUUUUUUCCCUCUGGUUGCACAUUUAACAUGCUGGUAGAAAUUAGGUAAAACGGAUUUAAGUUUCCCUUUAUUAGAGUCCCCGGCCACUAGGAGCGCCGCCUCUGGAUGAGCGUUUUUCUGUUUGCUUAUGGCCUUAUUCAGCUCAUUGAGUGUGGUCUUAGUGCCAGCAUCGGUCUGUGGUGGUAAAUAGACAGCUACGAAGAAUAUAGAUUAAAACUCUCUAGGUAGAUAGCGUGGUCUACAGCUUAUCAUGAGAUACUCUACCUCAGGCAAGCAAAACCUUGAGACUUCCUUCCUUGCACCAGCUGUUGCAAAUACACAUAGACCACCACCACUUGUCUUACCAGAGGCUGCUGUUCUAUCCUGCUGAUACAGUGUAUAGACCACCACCCCUUGACUUACCAGAGGCUGCUGUUCUAUCCUGCUGAUACAGUGUAUAGACCACCAACCCUUGUCUUACCAGAGGCUGCUGUUCUAUCCUGCUGAUACAGUGUAUAACCCACCAGCUGUAUGUUUUUCAUGUCGUCAUUCAGCCACGACUCAGUGAAACAUAAGAUAUUACAGUUUUUAAUGUCCCGUUGAUGGGAUAUACAUGCUUGUAGUUUGUCCACUUUAUUAUUGAGCGAUUGUAAGUAGGCCAGUUGUACUGAUGGAAAAGGCACUCUCGUUGCCGGAUCCUCACAAGGCACCCGAUCUCCUUCCGCGACACCGCCGUUUCCCUCUCCUGCGAAUGACGGGGAUGAGGGCCUGUUCGGGUGUCUGGAAUACAUCCUUCUCGUACGAAAAAAAUGAUUUGUCCAGUUCAAGGUGAGUAAUCUCUGUUCUGAUGUCCAGAAGCUCUUUUCGGUCAUAAGAGACGGUAGCAGCAACAUUAUGUACAAAACAAGUUACAAACAAUGCGAAAAAACAACAAAAUAGCACGGUUGGUUAAGAGCCCAUAAAACGGCAGCCAUCCCCUCCGGCGCCAUUUAUAUAUCUGUCUAUACAGCCAAUGACUCCAGGGAAGUUCCCAUAGUAAUAGAACUCUACCUUGUAGUUGGCUUGGGCAGCAGCAUCAGCGAAAUUGAUGUAAUUGUCGUUCAGUUCACAUAUAGACUUUGUGGACAUUUCUGCAUACAGUCAGUUCACUUACACUAAUCUCCUGUUUCACGAUGGAAGGUUCCAGAUGCCAAAAACCUCAAGGUGAUCAGCAGUUGUUGGGAAGGAGGGAUGGGCCUUCCCUGAAGAUAGUCAGAUGAAAGCCUUGGCUCAAGCAAACAAAUAGAUGCAUUUUCUUUGUACACACGGAAAAUGUCACAGAAAUUGAGUUCUUCAAAAUCAUUCAGUGAGUUGCUCCUGUCUUUUACCGCCCUUUUGCCUUGGAGGUGCUCUUUGAUGAUCAUUGAAAUAGUCCAGGUAAUACAUUUCCCUCCAUUGCCAAGUUCAGUCUAGGGGCCAACAUCCAUUAAUCUGAAGUUAAGCCUCUGGACAAGUCUUCACCUAGAUCUAGAUUAACUCUAAUCUUCCUUCUGGAAAUCAGAUGUUUUAAAUCUAGACUAGGGCAAGUGUGAAAAUAUUUGAAACCAUGUCUGAGAAAUUUAGUCUAGGAUUAGCCUUAAUCUGUGUCCAGGAAACCGCCCUACAAAUGGAUAACCUCUACAAGCAUGAAAUGGAAAUGUGCUUUUUACAUAUCCCAGUUUCCCCUGCGACACUGUCAGAGAGUGGGGUCACAGCCAGGGAACAGCCAUUAUUGACAGCGACCCUGGAGCAAUUAGGGUUAAGUGCCUUGCUAAAGGGCAGAUCAACCUAUUUUUCACCUUGAAGAUUCGAACUACACUGAACAAAAAUACAAAUGCAACAUGCAACAACUUCAAAGAUUUUGCUGAGUUACAGUCAAUAAGGAAAUCGUUCAAUUAAAAUAAUUUCAUUAGGCCCUAAUCUAUGGAUUUCACAUAGAAACCUUAUUUUUCCUGCUCAAUGGUCUAACCGCUAGGCUACCUGCCGCCACACCAAUCCACCUAUCAGCAUCCAGCAUCACACCAACCCACUUAUCAACACACAGUACCACACCAACCCACCUAUCAGCAUCCAUAACCCAUCAUUUUCUUUCUAGGGUUCUUUCUGCUCUGAUCUCCUCUCUGUCUCCCUCAGGCCUGUUUUCUAGGGUAUGAAUUGGCGUUAGAGUGUCUAAAUUGGCUGGCUCCCACCUGGUGAAGUCUCCUGCUAUGACCUGUCAUUAAGAGGUUGUAACCUGCAUUGACCUGUCGCUGUCUUCAGACUGGACUCUUCUCUUGACCUCAGUUUCAUGCUUCCCAAAUGGCACACUAUUCCCUAUAUAGUGCACUACUUUUGCCUAGGGCCUGUAGGUAAUAGGGCUCUGGUCAGUUUUGCACUAUAUAGGGAAAGUAGUGAACUAUAUAGGGAAUAGGGUGAUGGUUUUUGUUGUUGUAUUUAACCUUUAUUUAACUAGUCAUGGUUUUUCAUGACAACAACAAUGUGAAUUCUUGUCCUCCUUGUUGUUAAUGUGGUUCUAAAAAUAUAUUCACUGAUGUUUCAGUUUGACAUCUUGUCCUGUUUCGGUUUGACAUCUUGUCCUGUUUCAGUUUGACAUCUUGUCCUGUUUCAGUUUGACAUCUUGUCCUGUUUCGGUUUGACAUCUUGUCCUGUUUCAGUUUGACAUCUUGUCCUGUUUCGGUUUGACAUCUUGUCCUGUUUCAGUUUGACAUCUUGUCCUGUUUCAGUUUGAUAUCUUGUCCUGUUUCAGUUUGACAUCUUGUCCUGUUUCGGUUGAUAUCUUGUCCUGUUUCAGUUUGACAUCUUAUCCUGUUUCGGUUGAUAUCUUGUCCUGUGAUUCACGUCUUGUUGAAGAGAAGUUUAAACGCACAGUGAAAUAAUGACAAUCAUGAUAUUUAUUUAAGGGGAUGAUUUUUACAUAUUUCUGUGAACCUAAGGUUGUGUCUAAAAGGCACCUGAUAAUAGUGCACUAUAUUUAUAUUCAUUAUUCAUUGUUAAUAGUAACAAUAAAGACGUGUUUGAAUGUUGAAGAUUUAAAACAAUUUUUUUAAAUGCCUUCAUUUGUUUAUUGACCAAUUUAGGGGUUUUGAUGUACAUUUUAAAUGUGAUAUAAUGUGAUAUAAUUUGAUUAAUUUGGACAAUUAAUCAAAUCCAUUUAUGAGCAAUCCAGAUUUAUCUCAGAACAGGUUUUAUACAUUUGUUUGAAUAAAGUGUAAUUUGCCAAAUAUGACAUUGCUGUGUCUAUUAAUGUAUCGUUUAUGGGUAAUUCAGGCCCUAAAUUACCAU
Molecule: long non-coding RNA, 3745 nt
Organism: Oncorhynchus tshawytscha (Chinook salmon)
Lineage: Eukaryota; Metazoa; Chordata; Actinopteri; Salmoniformes; Salmonidae
Source: Ensembl